GAUGAAGAACGUAGCGUAAUGCGAUACGUAAUGUGAAUUGCAGAAUUCAGUGAAUCAUCGAAUCUUUGAACGCACAUUGCGCCCGCCAGCACUCUGGCGGGCAUGCCUGUUCGAGCGUCAUUUCAACCAUCAAGCCCCAGGCUUGCGUUGGAGCCCUGCGGCUGCCGCAGCCUCCUAAAAGCAGUGGCGGGCUCGCUAUCACACCGAGUGCAGUAGAUUACUCUUCGCUCAGGGCGUGCAGCGGGUUCCGGCCGUGAAACCCCCUACUUUUAAAGGUUGACCUCGGAUCAGGUAGGAAUACCCGCUGAACUUAAGCAUAUCAAUAAGCGGAGGA
This 334-nucleotide unclassified non-coding RNA is filed under the name soil metagenome. Its description in RNAcentral is "partial contains 5.8S ribosomal RNA, internal transcribed spacer 2, and large subunit ribosomal RNA". The stretch from base 1 to 120 matches the Rfam family "5.8S ribosomal RNA", at positions 35 to 154 of the family's 154-position model. The record is from RNAcentral.